RNAcentral lists this ribosomal RNA (532 nucleotides) under uncultured bacterium. RNAcentral's name for it is "bacterial SSU rRNA". It matches the Rfam family "Bacterial small subunit ribosomal RNA", at positions 8 to 524 of the family's 1533-position model. The record is from RNAcentral.
AGAGUUUGAUCCUGGCUCAGAUUGAACGCUGGCGGCAUGCCUAACACAUGCAAGUCGAACGGCAGCACAGUAAAGAUUUCGGUCUUUAUGGGUGGCGAGUGGCGGACGGGUGAGUAACGCGUAGGAAUCUAUCCUGGAGAGUGGGAUAACCCGAGGAAACUCGGGCUAAUACCACAUGAAAUCGAGAGAUCAAAAGCAGGGGACCGAAAGGCCUUGCGCUCUGGGGUGAGCCUACGUCGGAUUAGCUAGUUGGUGGGGUAAAGGCCUACCAAGGCGACGAUCCGUAGCUGGUCUGAGAGGAUGACCAGCCACACUGGGACUGAGACACGGCCCAGACUCCUACGGGAGGCAGCAGUGGGGAAUCUUGGACAAUGGGGGCAACCCUGAUCCAGCGAUGCCGCGUGUGUGAAGAAGGCCUUCGGGUUGUAAAGCACUUUAGGUGGGGAAGAAAGGUAACGAGCGAAUAACUCGUUGCUAUGACGGUACCCGCAGAAUAAGCACCGGCUAACUCUGUGCCAGCAGCCGCGGUAAU